UACGGAGGAUCCAAGCGUUAUCCGGAAUCAUUGGGUUUAAAGGGCCUGUAGGUGGCCAACUAAGUCAGACGUGAAAUCCCUCGGCUUAACCGGGGAACUGCGUCUGAUACUGGAUGGCUGGAGUGUGGGAGAGGGAUGCGGAAUUCCAGGUGUAGCGGUGAAAUGCGUAGAUAUCUGGAGGAACACCGGUGGCGAAGGCGGCAUCCUGGACCAUUACUGACACUGAAAAGCGAAAGCCAGGGGAGCAAACGGG
This 253-nucleotide ribosomal RNA is filed under the name uncultured bacterium. Its description in RNAcentral is "partial 16S ribosomal RNA". It matches the Rfam family "Bacterial small subunit ribosomal RNA", at positions 524 to 776 of the family's 1533-position model. The record is from RNAcentral.